CAUCACUACGCUAGAUGCAUAUCAAUAAGCGGAGGAAAAGAAACUAACUAGGACUCCCUUAGUAAUGACGAGCGAAGCGGGAAGAGCUCAAAUUUGAAAUCUUCAAGGUUCUACCUUGACGAAUUGUAGUUUAAAGAAGUGUUCUCUGUUGGAGUUUCGGUAAAAGUUCUUUGGAAUAGGACAUCAUAGAGGGUGAGAAUCCCGUAUUUGACCGUUACUUUCCAGCUGUGUGAUACACUUUCAAAGAGUCGGAUUGUUUGGGAAUGCAGUCCAAAAUGGGUGGUAAAUUUCAUCUAAAGCUAAAUAUUGGCGAGAGACCGAUAGCGAACAAGUACCGUGAGGGAAAGAUGAAAAGAACUUUGAAAAGAGAGUUAAACAGUACGUGAAAUUGUCAAAAGGGAAGCGUUUGACACCAGUGUUGUUUUUCCGAAAAUCAAUUACUGAAUGGUUUGAUUUUGAGAAGUUAUGACUUCAUCGGCUUGCUCCUUUCUUUACGAAACUUUCUUAAUGCACUUUUCGGUUAACAAGUCAACAUCAAUUUCUUUUGUUGUAAAAGGGUAUGAGGAAGGUGGCUUUCUUUUCGGAGAAAGUGUUUAUAGCCUUGUGCCUCUACAAUCGGAGAGAUUGAGGUCUGCAGCGUAGAUCCUUCGGGGUUAGAUACAUUGGUGCUAAGCUAUAGCCUUGUAUAGACAACUUGUUGACUAUGCUCAGUCAUGUAGCUUACUCGCUGAUGCUAUUUUACCUACGCUUAGGAUGUUGACACACGCGCGUGCUCG
RNAcentral lists this ribosomal RNA (776 nucleotides) under uncultured Neocallimastigales. RNAcentral describes it as "partial large subunit ribosomal RNA". It matches the Rfam family "Eukaryotic large subunit ribosomal RNA", at positions 24 to 643 of the family's 3401-position model. The record is from RNAcentral. Lineage: Eukaryota; Fungi; Neocallimastigomycota; Neocallimastigomycetes; Neocallimastigales.